Molecule: ribosomal RNA, 872 nt
Filed under: marine metagenome
Description: bacterial SSU rRNA
Rfam family: Bacterial small subunit ribosomal RNA
Source: RNAcentral
AGAGUUUGAUCCUGGCUCAGAACUAAUGCUGGUGGUAUGCUUAACACAUGCAAGUCGAACGAACUUUGGAGAGCUUGCUCUUUAAAGUUAGUGGCAAACGGGUGAGUAAUGUAUAAGAAUCUACCUAGCAGUAAGGAAUAACUUUGGGAAACUAAAGCUAAUACCAUAUAUUACCGUUUAUUCGGGAAAGAUUUAUCGCUGUUAGAUGAGCUUAUAUCAGAUUAGCUUGUUGGUAGGGUAAUGGCCUACCAAGGCAAUGAUCUGUAGCUGGUCUGAGAGGAUGGCCAGCCACACUGGGACUGAGACACGGCCCAGACUCCUACGGGAGGCAGCAGUGGGGAAUAUUGGACAAUGGGCGCAAGCCUGAUCCAGCAAUACCACGUGAAUGAUGAAGGCCUUAGGGUUGUAAAAUUCUUUUAGUAGGGAAGAUAAUGACGGUACCUACAGAAAAAGCACCGGCUAACUUCGUGCCAGCAGCCGCGGUAAUACGAAGGGUGCUAGCAUUGUUCGGAAUCAUUGGGCGUAAAGCGUAUGUAGGCGGCUUUGUAAGUUGGUUGUGAAAUCCCGGGGCUCAACCCCGGAAUUGCAAUCAAAACUGCUUCGCUAGAGUAUAGUAGGGGAUAGUGGAAUUCCUAGUGUAGGGGUGAAAUCCGUAGAUAUUAGGAGGAACAUCAGCGGCGAAAGCGGCUAUCUAGACUAUUACUGACGCUGAGAUACGAAAGCGUGGGGAGCAAACAGGAUUAGAUACCCUGGUAGUCCACGCAGUAAACGAUGAGUGCUAGUUGUCGGGAUCUUAGGAUUUCGGUGGCGAAGCUAACGCGUUAAGCACUCCGCCUGGGGAGUACGGCCGCAAGGCUAAAACUCAAAGGAAU